Molecule: ribosomal RNA, 367 nt
Filed under: uncultured eukaryote
Lineage: Eukaryota
Description: SSU rRNA
Rfam family: Eukaryotic small subunit ribosomal RNA
Source: RNAcentral
AGCUCCAAUAGCGUAUAUUAAAGUUGUUGCAGUUAAAAAGCUCGUAGUUGAACUUCUUGGCAUUCUUUAAGCAGGCUUCGGUCGUUUAAAGAGUGUCAAUCCGCUAGGGAACUACAUUCGCACUUCACUGUGCGGUGUAAGGAACUGGCAUUUUACUUAGAAAAAAUUAGAGUGUUCAAGGCAGGCUAUCGCCCUGAAUACACAAGCUUGGAAUAAUUAAAUAGGACUAUUUCCAUUUUAUUGGUUAUUGGAUUUAGUAAUGAUUAAUAGGGACAGUUGGGGGCAUUUGUAUUUAAUAGUCAGAGGUGAAAUUCUUGGAUUUAUUAAAGACAAACUUAUGCGAAAGCAUUUGCCAAGGAUGUUUUCA